RNAcentral lists this ribosomal RNA (460 nucleotides) under uncultured bacterium. RNAcentral describes it as "partial 16S ribosomal RNA". It matches the Rfam family "Bacterial small subunit ribosomal RNA", at positions 338 to 795 of the family's 1533-position model. The record is from RNAcentral.
CCUACGGGGCGCAGCAGUGAGGACUAUUGGUCAAUGGACGAGAGUCUGAACCAGCCAAGUAGCGUGAAGGAUGACUGCCCUAUGGGUUGUAAACUUCUUUUAUAUGGGAAUAAAACGUUCCACGUGUGGGAUUUUGUAUGUACCAUAUGAAUAAGGAUCGGCUAACUCCGUGCCAGCAGCCGCGGUAAUACGGAGGAUCCGAGCGUUAUCCGGAUUUAUUGGGUUUAAAGGGACCGUAGGUGGAUUGUUAAGUCAGUUGUGAAAGUUUGCGGCUCAACCGUAAAAUUGCAGUUGAAACUGGCAGUCUUGAGUACAGUAGAGGUGGGCGGAAUUCGUGGUGUAGCGGUGAAAUGCUUAGAUAUCACGAAGAACUCCGAUUGCGAAGGCAGUUCACUGGACUGCAACUGACACUGAGGCUCGAAAGUGUGGGUAUCAAACAGGAUUAGAUACCCUGGUAGUC